RNAcentral lists this ribosomal RNA (507 nucleotides) under uncultured bacterium. RNAcentral describes it as "partial 16S ribosomal RNA". It matches the Rfam family "Bacterial small subunit ribosomal RNA", at positions 29 to 523 of the family's 1533-position model. The record is from RNAcentral.
AGUGAACGCUGGCGGCAGGCCUAACACAUGCAAGUCGAACGGUAGCACAGAGGAGCUUGCUCCUUGGGUGACGAGUGGCGGACGGGUGAGGAAUACAUCGGAAUCUACCCUGUCGUGGGGGAUAACGUAGGGAAACUUACGCUAAUACCGCAUACGAACUGAGGUUGAAAGCAGGGGACCGCAAGGCCUUGCGCGAUUGGAUGAGCCGAUGUCCGAUUAGCUAGUUGGUAAGGUAAAGGCUUACCAAGGCGACGAUCGGUAGCUGGUCUGAGAGGAUGAUCAGCCACACUGGAACGGAGACACGGUCCAGACUCCUACGGGAGGCAGCAGUGGGGAAUAUUGCACAAUGGGCGCAAGCCUGAUGCAGCAACGCCGCGUGAGUGAAGAAGGCCUUUGGGUUGUAAAGCUCUUUCGGCUGGGGAGAAGGCCUUUACGGUAAAUAAUCGUGAGGGUUGACGGUACCAGAAGAAGAAGCACCUGCUAACUACGUGCCAGCAGCCGCAGUAA